Molecule: ribosomal RNA, 240 nt
Filed under: uncultured bacterium
Lineage: Bacteria
Description: partial 16S ribosomal RNA
Rfam family: Bacterial small subunit ribosomal RNA
Source: RNAcentral
UAGGGAAUCUUCGGCAAUGGGGGCAACCCUGACCGAGCAACGCCGCGUGAGUGAAGAAGGUUUUCGGAUCGUAAAGCUCUGUUGUAAGUCAAGAACGGGUGUGAGAGUGGAAAGUUCACACUGUGACGGUAGCUUACCAGAAAGGGACGGCUAACUACGUGCCAGCAGCCGCGGUAAUACGUAGGUCCCGAGCGUUGUCCGGAUUUAUUGGGCGUAAAGCGAGCGCAGGCGGUUUGAUAA